GGCAACUCCGCGCACACAACCGGAGAAGGCUGCAACUGUGGCGCGAAGUUCAGCGCGAGAGCGUUCUUUGCACCUUCAAGCAAGACUAGCAAGAGGGUGUUAUUCAUUAGGCUACCAUAUGCUACAUCAGGACAAACGACGAAAGAUCGCUGAACAUGGAAUGUCGCUGGAGCCAGCAUUUCGACGAGGGGACUUGUCUUCGCCAGCCCCACCGUUCGGACCCACCGUUCGCCAGACCCGCCGAUAAAUAACACAUGUUCACAUGCGUAUAAGCAACAUUUUCAGCCGCAGAAAUAAUGCUGCAGAGCGCGGAGCCUGCUCUUCUGUCAGACUGUCACCCCCUGCGCGAAUGUGAGCCAUGAUCGGCGCCAGCGAGGAGAAGCGUGGAGCGGACAACAGGCUGACGGGUCGCCCAGCUGACGGACGUCUUUGCAAUGAAGAGGGGGGGGGGGGGCUUGGCCGCCACAGCCACCUCUUGUUGCCUCAAGGAGCUCGCUUCAAGUAGUGUAGCGCCUCGGAGAACACCGUUCUUCUAUAACGAUGCAUUAAAGAUGCC
Molecule: long non-coding RNA, 556 nt
Organism: Rhipicephalus sanguineus (brown dog tick)
Lineage: Eukaryota; Metazoa; Arthropoda; Arachnida; Ixodida; Ixodidae
Exons: 3
Source: RefSeq, a predicted model, not a curated record